UAAAUGCAGGGGCAAAAUGAU
Molecule: microRNA, 21 nt
Filed under: Prunus persica (peach)
Lineage: Eukaryota; Viridiplantae; Streptophyta; Magnoliopsida; Rosales; Rosaceae
Description: ppe-miR6266c
Source: miRBase by way of RNAcentral